This 497-nucleotide ribosomal RNA is filed under the name uncultured bacterium. Its description in RNAcentral is "partial 16S ribosomal RNA". It matches the Rfam family "Bacterial small subunit ribosomal RNA", at positions 28 to 507 of the family's 1533-position model. The record is from RNAcentral.
GAUGAACGCUGGCGGCGUGCCUAAUACAUGCAAGUCGAGCGAACGGACGAGAAGCUUGCUUCUCUGAUGUUAGCGGCGGACGGGUGAGUAACACGUGGAUAACCUACCUAUAAGACUGGGAUAACUUCGGGAAACCGGAGCUAAUACCGGAUAAUAUUUUGAACCGCAUGGUUCAAAAGUGAAAGACGGUCUUGCUGUCACUUAUAGAUGGAUCUGCGCUGCAUUAGCUAGUUGGUAAGGUAACGGCUUACCAAGGCAACGAUGCAUAGCCGACCUGAGAGGGUGAUCGGCCACACUGGAACUGAGACACGGUCCAGACUCCUACGGGAGGCAGCAGUAGGGAAUCUUCCGCAAUGGGCGAAAGCCUGACGGAGCAACGCCGCGUGAGUGAUGAAGGUCUUCGGAUCGUAAAACUCUGUUAUUAGGGAAGAACAUAUGUGUAAGUAACUGCGCACAUCUUGACGGUACCUAAUCAGAAAGCCACGGCUAACUACGUG